CUUGAUAACUUUAUGCUGCCUCUCCUGGUCUUAGGUUUUUUUGUUGUUGUUGUUAUUUGUCUAUAAAGUAGAAACAAUAUAUUCUGUGUGGAUCAGAUGAGGGCCGGGGUGGCCACUGGGUUUUGGAUGUGAGCAGAGCAUCAAGAAUACAGCAGCCAGAGAGGAGGGCAGUUCUCCUGGAAGAAGGUGCCCAUGCCAGCUGUGCCAGGGACUCACUGGAAGAUAAGUCACUGCCUUUCAGGACAUUCAUUCAUUCAUUCAUUCCCUCCACCAAAUACUAUUUAGGAAACACCCAACAUACUAAGCCUUUAUCUAUUUCUUCACAGGUAUUAGAAUAAUGCUUAAACCUUCCUCCCUACAAACACACACACACACACACACACACACACACACAACAGUGAUUAUUAAUAAGACCAGUGCUACCUCUCCAAGACAUCAGAGAAAAUAAAUUCAAAAUGAACUGUCUCAGUUCCUACUGCAAAUGCAGGAAGUUCUCCUGCUACGUCCAUCAUUCCUAAAAGUUCAACCUUGUUUUCAGAGUUAACUGCUGAUGGUUGAAAACGGCUUGUAUAUCCAACUGCCUUUUCGAUGUCUCUAUAUGAGGGUCUUACGAGAAUCUCCAACUCAACACGGCCGAAUGAGCUCCUGCUCUUCCCCGAGACCUGCCCCUCCUGCUGCUGUUCCUGUUUUUGUUUUUUGAAGCUCCGUCCUUCCAAGAGCUCAGAUCAAACCGCUGGACUGGCCUCGACUUUUCUCUCUCUCCCACUCCACAUCCGGCACCAGCAGUCUCAUUGCCUCUGGCUCACUCACCCUGCUCCAGCCACAGGGGCUUCCACACUGCUCCUCCAACACACCAGGCCUUUGCACUGGCUGUUUCCUCUGCCUCAACACCCUUCCCCCAGAUAUCUAUGGGGCACACUCCCAAGUUUUAUGCCUAGCCCAAAUGUCACCUUCUCAACGAGACCUUCCCUCACAUUCUACUUAAAACUGUAAUCUUGGCCGAAACCAUGUGGCUCAGUGGUUGAAUGUGGACCUAUGAACCAGGAGGUCACGGUUCAAUUCCCGGUCAGGCCAUAUGGCCAGAUUGCCUGCUCAAUCCACAGGCUGGGGUAUGCAGGAGGCAGCCGAUCAAUGAUUCUCUCUCAUCAUUGAUGCUUCUCUCUCUCUC
This is a long non-coding RNA of Myotis daubentonii (Daubenton's bat), 1168 nucleotides long. RefSeq lists it as uncharacterized. Lineage: Eukaryota; Metazoa; Chordata; Mammalia; Chiroptera; Vespertilionidae. The record is from RefSeq and is a predicted model, not a curated record.